AGAAUCAACGCUGGCGGCGUGCCUAACACAUGCAAGUCGAACGCGAAAGUGGAGCAAUCCAUGAGUAGAGUGGCGAACGGGUGAGUAACGCGUGGGUGACCUACCUCUGAGUGGGGGAUAACGGUCCCGAAAGGGACGCUAAUAACCGCAUAACAUCCUGCCUUUGAACAGGCGGUGAUCAAAGCCGGGAUCGCAAGACCUGGCGCUUGAAGAGGGGCCCGCGUUCCGAUUAGCUAGUUGGUGAGGUAACGCCCACAAGGCGACGAU
Molecule: ribosomal RNA, 267 nt
Filed under: uncultured soil bacterium
Lineage: Bacteria
Description: partial 16S ribosomal RNA
Rfam family: Bacterial small subunit ribosomal RNA
Source: RNAcentral